Ornithodoros turicata is the source of this 412-nucleotide long non-coding RNA. RefSeq lists it as uncharacterized. Lineage: Eukaryota; Metazoa; Arthropoda; Arachnida; Ixodida; Argasidae. The transcript has 3 exons. The record is from RefSeq and is a predicted model, not a curated record.
ACUCCGACUGGGUGCCACCUUCGAAAGGAGCGAUUUGAUCUGUUCAUCUGGCUUAUACGAAUGUUACGGAAGCAAUGCGCAACUUGUUUCACAAGAAGCUGAAGAUGUCUCGUCCGGGAUGCUGUGCCAACCUUAUCUGCAGCAGGAGAUUGCAGGGGCAGGACUAGGCAGCAGAUAAAGGCAUGCUGGCACCACCGAAAAGCUUGCACUCCACGUCUCAACUAUCACCGUCUGGGUUUCAAGCUGAAGGCUGUCACCAGUGCCAACCAGACGCCCCUUCAAAGUUCAUCUGUUUUUGUUGACGGAACAGUGACACCUGGUAAACCUGUCACGCAGAUGCCCUACCCCUUGGUAUGCAUAGUUCAAGAUUGUACCGAAACAAUCCACCUGGAGCAUUAUUCUUCAAUUGGCA